This 468-nucleotide ribosomal RNA is filed under the name Triticum aestivum (bread wheat). RNAcentral describes it as "partial small subunit ribosomal RNA". Lineage: Eukaryota; Viridiplantae; Streptophyta; Magnoliopsida; Poales; Poaceae. The record is from RNAcentral.
AUGAAAGCCAGGCAGCUGUCUUUGAAUAACUUUUCAGAUACUGUCUCAUGGAAACAUAGUAGUAAAGGAAAAUUCACAACUAAGUCAGUUUAUGAGUGGCUAGAAAGGAACCUAUCUGGCCCUAAUUAUAAGUGGGUUUGGAAGGCUCCUAUCCCACUUAAGAUCAAAAUUUUCUUGUGGCAACUUUUUCAAAAUGUUGUUCUUACAAGAGAUAAUAUGCGGGCUAGGAAGUGGCCUGGGAAUCCUAUAUGUUCUUUUUGUUCAAAUGUUGAAACAGCAAACCAUCUAUUCUUUGCUUGCCCACUUGCCCGCACUGUUUGGGGGGUUUUGGGGACGACGGGUGGAGCAUCUUGCUGUCCCCGAUCGCUUUGGCAAAGCUGGGCAUGGUUGUACAUGUUUUUCCCAGGAGGGGGACGCUUUUAUAUGAUGAUCAUCGCUGUUGUCUGCUGGGGGAUCUGGAACCUUUGA